Molecule: long non-coding RNA, 300 nt
Organism: Galendromus occidentalis (western predatory mite)
Lineage: Eukaryota; Metazoa; Arthropoda; Arachnida; Mesostigmata; Phytoseiidae
Exons: 2
Source: RefSeq, a predicted model, not a curated record
UUUUCACAACCGUCAAGAAGGACAGCAAGGCAGAUAAAAUGAGAGCUUUGUUGAUGAUAUUCCUGUUGGUCGCAAUCUUCUCGCAAGUCGCUGUAUCGGCUUACGACCUCGGAUGCCCGGAAGUCGACCACGGAAAGAUGUGCAUUUGGAGGAACGAUCAAUGUAACGAUGCCAAACCUUGUCCAGCGGGAGCUAAGUGUUGUCUCGACAGCCCAUCUUGCGGCACUAUAUGCGUCCAGUAGCUCGAAGUUGGAACAGAAUCCAUGAAAAUAAAUAUCUGAUUAUUUGAGGACUCAGAAG